AUUGAACGCUGGCGGCAUGCCUUACACAUGCAAGUCGAACGGCAGCACGGGAGCAAUCCUGGUGGCGAGUGGCGAACGGGUGAGUAAUAUAUCGGAACGUGCCCAGUCGUGGGGGAUAACGCAGCGAAAGCUGUGCUAAUACCGCAUACGAUCUAUGGCUGAAAGCGGGGGAUCGCAAGACCUCGCGCGAUUGGAGCGGCCGAUAUCAAAUUAGCUAGUUGGUGAGGUAAAGGCUCACCAAGGCGACGAUCUGUAGCUGGUCUGAGAGGACGACCAGCCACACUGGAACUGAGACACGGUCCAGACUCCUACGGGAGGCAGCAGUGGGGAAUUUUGGACAAUGGGCGAAAGCCUGAUCCAGCAAUGCCGCGUGCAGGAUGAAGGCCUUCGGGUUGUAAACUGCUUUUGUACGGAACGAAACGGUGAGCUCUAAUACAGUUUGCUAAUGACGGUACCGUAAGAAUAAGCACCGGCUAACUACGUGCCAGCCGCCGCCGUAA
Molecule: ribosomal RNA, 500 nt
Filed under: uncultured bacterium
Lineage: Bacteria
Description: partial 16S ribosomal RNA
Rfam family: Bacterial small subunit ribosomal RNA
Source: RNAcentral